Molecule: ribosomal RNA, 484 nt
Filed under: uncultured bacterium
Lineage: Bacteria
Description: partial 16S ribosomal RNA
Rfam family: Bacterial small subunit ribosomal RNA
Source: RNAcentral
AUUGAACGCUGGCGGCAUGCCUAACACAUGCAAGUCGAACGGGAGCAUCGAGCUUGCUGGCGCAUUCGGGGGCGGAGGGGGGGAACAUGCCUUGAGAUCUGGAAGAAUGCCGGGGAUGAGGUGCUAAAACGGGCGAACAUACCCCAAACGAACAUAUGUCGAAAGUGGGGGAGCUUGGGAUCUCACGCCCUCAGAGGAGCGUAGGUCGGAUUAGCUGGUUGGUGGGGUAACGGCCUACCAAGGCGACGAUGCGUCACUGGUCUGAGAGUAUGACCAGUCACCCGGGAACUGAGACACGGUCCAGACUCCUACGGGAGGCAGCAGUGGGGAAUAUUGGACGAUGGGCGAAAGCCUGAUCCAGCCAUACCGCGUGUGUGAAGAAGGUCUUCGGAUUGUAAAGCACUUUAGGUCGGAAGGAAGUGCAGCACGUUAAUACCUUGCUGUUUUGACGGUACCAACAGAAUAAGCACCGGCUAACUUCGUG